GAGGUUGUGGCUCAGUGGUAGAGCACUCGCCUAGUGCGAGGCACUGGGUUCGAUCCUCAGCACCACA
This 67-nucleotide transfer RNA is filed under the name Marmota monax (woodchuck). RNAcentral's name for it is "tRNA.Leu". Lineage: Eukaryota; Metazoa; Chordata; Mammalia; Rodentia; Sciuridae. The record is from RNAcentral.